This 413-nucleotide ribosomal RNA is filed under the name Nocardia otitidiscaviarum. RNAcentral describes it as "bacterial SSU rRNA". It matches the Rfam family "Bacterial small subunit ribosomal RNA", at positions 77 to 507 of the family's 1533-position model. Lineage: Bacteria; Bacillati; Actinomycetota; Actinomycetes; Mycobacteriales; Nocardiaceae. The record is from RNAcentral.
CCUUCGGGGUACACGAGCGGCGAACGGGUGAGUAACACGUGGGUGAUCUGCCUCGCACUCUGGGAUAAGCCUGGGAACUGGGUCUAAUACCGGAUAUGACCACGAAUCGCAUGGUUUGUGGUGGAAAGGUUUACUGGUGCGAGAUGGGCCCGCGGCCUAUCAGCUUGUUGGUGGGGUAACGGCCUACCAAGGCGACGACGGGUAGCCGGCCUGAGAGGGCGACCGGCCACACUGGGACUGAGACACGGCCCAGACUCCUACGGGAGGCAGCAGUGGGGAAUAUUGCACAAUGGGCGAAAGCCUGAUGCAGCGACGCCGCGUGAGGGAUGACGGCCUUCGGGUUGUAAACCUCUUUCGACAGGGACGAAGCGCAAGUGACGGUACCUGUAGAAGAAGCACCGGCCAACUACGUG